CCUACGGGAGGCAGCAGUAAGGAAUAUUGGUCAAUGGACGCAAGUCUGAACCAGCCAUGCCGCGUGAAGGAUGAAGGUCCUCUGGAUUGUAAACUUCUUUUAUAGGGGACGAAAAAAGGGAAUUCUUUCUCACUUGACGGUACCCUAGGAAUAAGCACCGGCUAACUCCGUGCCAGCAGCCGCGGUAAUACGGAGGGUGCAAGCGUUAUCCGGAUUCACUGGGUUUAAAGGGUGCGUAGGUGGGCAUUUAAGUCAGUGGUGAAAUCUCCGGGCUUAACCCGGAAACUGCCAUUGAUACUAUUUGUCUUGAAUAUUGUGGAGGUAAGCGGAAUAUGUCAUGUAGCGGUGAAAUGCUUAGAUAUGACAUAGAACACCCAUUGCGAAGGCAGCUUACUACGCAAAUAUUGACACUGAGGCACGAAAGCGUGGGGAUCAAACAGGAUUAGAUACCCUGGUAGUCCACGCCCUAAACGAUGGAUACUCGACAUCAGCGAUACACAGUUGGUGUCUGAGCGAAAGCAUUAAGUAUCCCACCUGGGAAGUACGACCGCAAGGUUGAAACUUAAUGAAUUGACGG
This 577-nucleotide ribosomal RNA is filed under the name uncultured bacterium. Its description in RNAcentral is "bacterial SSU rRNA". It matches the Rfam family "Bacterial small subunit ribosomal RNA", at positions 338 to 916 of the family's 1533-position model. The record is from RNAcentral.